AUUGAACGUUGGCGGCAUGCCUUACACAUGCAAGUCGAACGGUAACAGGUCUUCGGAUGCUGACGAGUGGCGAACGGGUGAGUAAUACAUCGGAACGUGCCCGAUCGUGGGGGAUAACGAAGCGAAAGCUUUGCUAAUACCGCAUACGAUCUACGGAUGAAAGCAGGGGACCGCAAGGCCUUGCGCGAACGGAGCGGCCGAUGGCAGAUUAGGUAGUUGGUGGGAUAAAAGCUUACCAAGCCGACGAUCUGUAGCUGGUCUGAGAGGACGACCAGCCACACUGGGACUGAGACACGGCCCAGACUCCUACGGGAGGCAGCAGUGGGGAAUUUUGGACAAUGGGCGAAAGCCUGAUCCAGCCAUGCCGCGUGCAGGAUGAAGGCCUUCGGGUUGUAAACUGCUUUUGUACGGAACGAAAAGACUCUGGUUAAUACCUGGGGUCCAUGACGGUACCGUAAGAAUAAGCACCGGCUAACUACGUGCCAGCAGCCGCGGUAAUACGUAGGGUGCAAGCGUUAAUCGGAAUUACUGGGCGUAAAGCGUGCGCAGGCGGUUAUAUAAGACAGAUGUGAAAUCCCCGGGCUCAACCUGGGAACUGCAUUUGUGACUGUAUAGCUAGAGUACGGCAGAGGGGGAUGGAAUUCCGCGUGUAGCAGUGAAAUGCGUAGAUAUGCGGAGGAACACCGAUGGCGAAGGCAAUCCCCUGGGCCUGUACUGACGCUCAUGCACGAAAGCGUGGGGGAGCAAACAGGAUUAGAUACCCUGGUAGUCCACGCCCUAAACGAUGUCAACUGGUUGUUGGGUCUUCACUGACUCAGUAACGAAGCUAACGCGUGAAGUUGACCGCCUGGGGAGUACGGCCGCAAGGUUGAGACUCAAAGGAAUUGACGGGGACCCGCACAAGCGGUGGAUGAUGUGGUUUAAUUCGAUGCAACGCGAAAAACCUUACCCACCUUUGACAUGUACGGAAUCCUUUAGAGAUAGAGGAGUGCUCGAAAGAGAGCCGUAACACAGGUGCUGCAUGGCUGUCGUCAGCUCGUGUCGUGAGAUGUUGGGUUAAGUCCCGCAACGAGCGCAACCCUUGCCAUUAGUUGCUACGAAAGGGCACUCUAAUGGGACUGCCGGUGACAAACCGGAGGAAGGUGGGGAUGACGUCAAGUCCUCAUGGCCCUUAUAGGUGGGGCUACACACGUCAUACAAUGGCUGGUACAGAGGGUUGCCAACCCGCGAGGGGGAGCUAAUCCCAUAAAGCCAGUCGUAGUCCGGAUCGCAGUCUGCAACUCGACUGCGUGAAGUCGGAAUCGCUAGUAAUCGCGGAUCAGAAUGUCGCGGUGAAUACGUUCCCGGGUCU
RNAcentral lists this ribosomal RNA (1351 nucleotides) under uncultured bacterium. RNAcentral's name for it is "bacterial SSU rRNA". It matches the Rfam family "Bacterial small subunit ribosomal RNA", at positions 28 to 1381 of the family's 1533-position model. The record is from RNAcentral.